GUCAUAAGAAGCCUUGUAGCUUCUGCCUUCGUCUUUUAGAACUCUCACUCUGUGGGAAGCCGGGUGCCAUGUAAAGUCUGCUACCCUGAGACCGCCAUGCUGGGAGGAAGCCCAAGCUGGCCAUGUGGGGAGGCCCACGACGAGAGAGUCCUGCCAGUCCCGCUGUUCGUGUCAUCUCAGCUGAGGCAUCAGACGUGAUAAUGAUGGAUGGAGAUGACGAUUAAACGACUCCAGCCCCCGCCUCCACCUGACUCGGACUCUCAGAGAGACCCCGGAUGACACUGCCCAGCCGAGCCUGGAAUUCUUUAGGGUUCCCUGGUGACCCUGAAGUAUGGUGCCCUAGAGGAAAGACAGGGGAAUGGUGAGUCCUUUCCUCUUCACUGGUGGCCUCCGUUACAGCAGCGACCUGGCCCUUCCUGGAUUUGUGGCCCACAUCAAGGCAGGAGAGAGAGAAGAAGGCUGAGGAAGCUGACAGCAGACGUGGUUUCCAAGGAAACAGGAAGUAAUCGCCAGGCCCUCUGAGGAUCAUUAUUUCUUUGUCCUGCUAAAAGCCAGAUGCUCCCACCUUCUAAGCCAGCUCAGACGGUUGAGCAGGCACCAAAAUGGGUCCCCAGGGAGGAGACGAGGGGCUGGGGGAGCCUAUGGAGGGGGCGCUGCUCCCUCUGCUGGACCCCCUUCCUCUCACGAGGCCUCCCCUUCCUCGCAAAGACAUGCCCUUCCCCCAAAUCUCCUUAGGCCGCGAUGGGAGCCUAGUGUUUGAUGAGGAAUACACGGGAAGUUGUCUUCCCUGGAGCUCCAAGCACAGGACGCCUUUGCUCGGAGUCUGUCCCGGGAUUCAUCCGCGAGGAUUCCAGCCUGUGGACCCGCCUGGUCCCGGGUGGAGGGAUGGCGGGCCUGAGUGCCGAAUGCUCCAGAAAUAAACCGAGCAAUGACACUGUGUCCAGCGCUCAGACACCGUGAUCUGAGGUGGCCGAGGUGCAAGACCUCCCUGGAGCCGUCAAGAAUCAGCAUCUAAGGGGCACUUCUUUGGGGCCACACGUGACACGGGGCGGGCUGGAGCUGUAGGCACGGGUUCUCACAACCCCUCAGAGAACCCCCUGAAGCAGACGCUGUUUUCACUCGCAUUUCCCAGAUGUGGGAAUGGAGGCCCAGCUGGGUUGGGUCACUUGUCCACGGUCGUCCAAAGCUCCCCCUGCUGUCUGCCUGCAGAAUCGGCCCCAGAUUGUCUGUCCUUGCCCGGCCACUGGGAGAUGAUCUACUGAUGGGUAUAAACUUGUAUUAUAUCAUUAUUCGCCUCUAGCCAUGUGUAUCUGACUUUUUCAGUGGACCUAAAUGUGUAUAAAGGGUCCACUCAUGUUGUACCCCAGGGUAGCUCCCGAGUUCCGACUGUGGCCCAGGUGGACGCCAGCGGGAGCUGGGCGGUGGGGAUGAGGAUGCUGAGGCCUGGCUGCUGCAGAGCUGGCCUCCAGACGCAUGAGUGCUGGGCUCAGUACCGCUGGGCAGCGGAGCCGGCCUGAGUCUGACAUUUUCCUCGAUGCUGGACAGACUUCAUUGGUUCCAGAAGAGUGUUCAACGGCGUCAAUGGAUCCAUGGAGGAAAUGCCCCUAAAAGCAACGUCCCCCUCACCAGAAAAAGUGGCUGAACGCACAUGAGCACUGAAGUGGUGCUGCUUGAGCAAAUCGGGCUCUCAUGGAUGUGGGAGGGGACGUCACACCCAC
Equus caballus (horse) is the source of this 1718-nucleotide long non-coding RNA. The record is from Ensembl. NCBI's taxonomy places the organism in Eukaryota, Metazoa, Chordata, Mammalia, Perissodactyla, Equidae.